UACCAGCUCUUCGAGUGGUGUGGAUGUUUAUUGGGCCUAAAGCAUCCGUAGCUGGCUGGGCAAGUCCCCUGUUAAAUCCACCGAUUUAAUCGUUGGAGUGCGGGGGAUACUGUUCGGCUAGGGGACGGGAGAGGCAGACGGUAUUUUCGGGGUAGGGGUGAAAGCCUAUAAUCCCGGGAAGACCACCAGUGGCGAAGGCUGUCUGCUAGAACGCGCCCGACGGUGAGGGAUGAAAGCUGGGGGAGCGAACCGGAUUAGAUACCCGGGUAGUCCCAGCUGUAAACGAUGCAGGCUAGGUGUUUGGGCGGCCACGUGCCGCUCUAGUGCCGCAGGGAAGCCGUUAAGCCUGCCGCCUGGGGAGUACGGCCGCAAGGCUGAAACUUAGAGGAAUUGGCGGGGGAGCACCACAAGGCGUGAAGCUUGCGGUUC
This 429-nucleotide ribosomal RNA is filed under the name uncultured archaeon. RNAcentral describes it as "bacterial SSU rRNA". It matches the Rfam family "Archaeal small subunit ribosomal RNA", at positions 474 to 903 of the family's 1478-position model. The record is from RNAcentral.